This 1133-nucleotide ribosomal RNA is filed under the name Enterococcus faecium. Its description in RNAcentral is "bacterial SSU rRNA". It matches the Rfam family "Bacterial small subunit ribosomal RNA", at positions 106 to 1226 of the family's 1533-position model. Lineage: Bacteria; Bacillati; Bacillota; Bacilli; Lactobacillales; Enterococcaceae. The record is from RNAcentral.
GUGAGUAACACGUGGGUAACCUGCCCAUCAGAAGGGGAUAACACUUGGAAACAGGUGCUAAUACCGUAUAACAAUCGAAACCGCAUGGUUUUGAUUUGAAAGGCGCUUUCGGGUGUCGCUGAUGGAUGGACCCGCGGUGCAUUAGCUAGUUGGUGAGGUAACGGCUCACCAAGGCCACGAUGCAUAGCCGACCUGAGAGGGUGAUCGGCCACAUUGGGACUGAGACACGGCCCAAACUCCUACGGGAGGCAGCAGUAGGGAAUCUUCGGCAAUGGACGAAAGUCUGACCGAGCAACGCCGCGUGAGUGAAGAAGGUUUUCGGAUCGUAAAACUCUGUUGUUAGAGAAGAACAAGGAUGAGAGUAACUGUUCAUCCCUUGACGGUAUCUAACCAGAAAGCCACGGCUAACUACGUGCCAGCAGCCGCGGUAAUACGUAGGUGGCAAGCGUUGUCCGGAUUUAUUGGGCGUAAAGCGAGCGCAGGCGGUUUCUUAAGUCUGAUGUGAAAGCCCCCGGCUCAACCGGGGAGGGUCAUUGGAAACUGGGAGACUUGAGUGCAGAAGAGGAGAGUGGAAUUCCAUGUGUAGCGGUGAAAUGCGUAGAUAUAUGGAGGAACACCAGUGGCGAAGGCGGCUCUCUGGUCUGUAACUGACGCUGAGGCUCGAAAGCGUGGGGAGCAAACAGGAUUAGAUACCCUGGUAGUCCACGCCGUAAACGAUGAGUGCUAAGUGUUGGAGGGUUUCCGCCCUUCAGUGCUGCAGCUAACGCAUUAAGCACUCCGCCUGGGGAGUACGACCGCAAGGUUGAAACUCAAAGGAAUUGACGGGGGCCCGCACAAGCGGUGGAGCAUGUGGUUUAAUUCGAAGCAACGCGAAGAACCUUACCAGGUCUUGACAUCCUUUGACCACUCUAGAGAUAGAGCUUCCCCUUCGGGGGCAAAGUGACAGGUGGUGCAUGGUUGUCGUCAGCUCGUGUCGUGAGAUGUUGGGUUAAGUCCCGCAACGAGCGCAACCCUUAUUGUUAGUUGCCAUCAUUCAGUUGGGCACUCUAGCAAGACUGCCGGUGACAAACCGGAGGAAGGUGGGGAUGACGUCAAAUCAUCAUGCCCCUUAUGACCUGGGCUACACACGUGCU